Molecule: small nucleolar RNA, 79 nt
Filed under: Oncorhynchus kisutch (coho salmon)
Lineage: Eukaryota; Metazoa; Chordata; Actinopteri; Salmoniformes; Salmonidae
Description: Small nucleolar RNA SNORD72 (ENSOKIG00005037856.1)
Rfam family: Small nucleolar RNA SNORD72
About the family: snoRNA HBII-240 belongs to the CD family of snoRNAs. It is the human orthologue of the mouse MBII-240 and is predicted to guide 2'O-ribose methylation of the large 28S rRNA at residue U4590.
Source: Rfam by way of RNAcentral
GUCUUGUCAAUUAUGUUUUCAAUACAAAUGUCUUUACACAUGAAUUUCAGUGAUUAUUUCAUGUUGGCUGAGACAUGAU